This is a long non-coding RNA of Esox lucius (northern pike), 1747 nucleotides long. The record is from Ensembl. NCBI's taxonomy places the organism in Eukaryota, Metazoa, Chordata, Actinopteri, Esociformes, Esocidae.
CUAUGUUAACUGAUGAUGAUUAAUUGAAACAGUAAUAGGAAAUUGUGUUCUUCUGUUCUUGUAGAUUUGGUACUGGUUGUUUGUUAAACCAAACAUAGAAAAUAGUGGAAUUUCUACGCUAGUGGAACAGAAGCACCAGAAAUGUUUCCACUAUACUGUUACUGUAUACAACUGUUCUAUUCUAUGUAGGCAACAGGAGCAGAAUGACAUUAAAUAUUCAGGUAUAUAGGUUUAAGUGUUUGGUAGGACUCUGUGUUCUAAUGCAUUAACAAGAUGCAACAAACUAAUGUAAUGGACAUAUUUCUGAUUGUGUACUGUGCAGUUGCAACUAAUCUUCUCAAGGAGAAUUCACUGACAGGUACAGGACACUUGAAAGCAAUUCAGUGAUAGAGGACCGGUUGGACCCAGAGAGACUGAGUUUGGCUGAAAGGAUUGUGAGGUGGGGUGAGAUAAGAUGGAUCUCUUACACACACACACACACACACACGGACUGUCCCACAGCUGCAUGCAGAUUCUACUUCCGGGGUGCAGUGCGUCUACAAUAAUGCCUAGUUCCUGACAGCUGGACUAAUUCUAGUCCUGAUUAUUCUGCCAUAAGAUGAAGAAGGCAAACCCCAACCCACGGGGGGAGCUAAGGAAAGCUCCGGUUCUGGACAACAUUUGCUGGGAUGCGGAAGACCAACUGCACAACAUCAUGCCCCGCUGGUUGGGUCCAUACCAGAGUUCUGAUCGAUGAAAUUGCCAUCACAGUAGCUGAGAGAGGAACCUGGGGUCGACGCCACACACGCUACAGGAGGACUUCAAUGCACUGUGCCAAAGAUUUGGCACAGUGAAUUGAAGUCACUGAGGGAAAAGUGAGCUUUUUGGUGCUAGUAACCAUCACUUCCGACCAGGCCUGCAGCUAUAGAGUUCUUAGACAAAACUGUUCAUCUUGGCAUUCACAAAGGAGAACACAGAUUCCCCUGACCUGGCUGAUAAAGCAGCUAUAAUGGAGACAACAAGAGUUGUGUCAUUGUAACCUACAUUUCAACUAUGAAGGACAACACUUUGGAAUAAACAUUUUUCCAUCUGUUACAUCGGUCUGCCAAGAAAUGGUUCAUAACUGACUGUCUGAUGUUUGAAGGAGCAGAAUAUUUGUUAUGACUUUGGAAGUACAUCAUAUGGGAACCACGAGAGGACUUUUCAGUGAAUCAAGAAAUUGACAUAAGAUGUCUUUGUACUGGUAACAAAUUGAAGGAUGAUUGGUGUUUACACACCCACGUGUCGAUGCUACAUAUACCAUACUGUCAGUAUAUAUGUCACCUGAAAUUACUUCCUUACUCCCUCUCUACCCACAUAUGCACCAGGGUUUGACGGGUCGUAGUAAAUACUUUUUAAAAACUGUUAAGACAUCGUAGAGCAUUGGCUCAAUAACUAGAAGUAAUACAUGUUUAACAUUGUUUUAUUUGAAUCUUUGGAAUUACACGUCAUCCGUGAAUUUCAGAAAAGCUACACAAAACAUUCAGAUUUCUGCUGAUAAGAAAAUCUAUAAACAUACAAUAGGUGCCCAAUUUUAAAGUCUUUGUUGUCAGCAUUUAAAAAUGUCAGACGUUUAUACAAGAAGUUGUUUAGAUCAUUUGAUUCAACAACGUUUGACAACUAUUGCGGGCAGUCAUCAGAUGUGUUCAUGACCGUUUCCAUAUGCUUGUUCAGAUUAUUAAAUGACUUUAUACUGACAUGGUCUUAGUUAUUAAAAAGUCUACAACCA